RNAcentral lists this ribosomal RNA (323 nucleotides) under uncultured eukaryote. Its description in RNAcentral is "partial 18S ribosomal RNA". It matches the Rfam family "Eukaryotic small subunit ribosomal RNA", at positions 1470 to 1796 of the family's 1831-position model. The record is from RNAcentral.
CCCUUAGAUGUUCUGGGCCGCACGCGCGCUACACUGAUGCAUUCAACGAGUUUCUUCCUGGUCCGAGAGGAAUGGGUAACCUUUUGAAAGUGCAUCGUGAUAGGGAUAGACUAUUGCAAUUAUUGGUCUUCAACGAGGAAUUCCUAGUAGACGUAGUUCAUCAGACUGCAUCGAUACGUCCCUGCCCUUUGUACACACCGCCCGUCGCUCCUACCGAUUGAAUGCUCAGGUGAGCCAUUCGGACUUUCAUCAUGCUGGUUUCCAGUUUUGAUGAAGGAAAGUCUUGCGAACCUUAUCAUUUAGAGGAAGGAGAAGUCGUAACA